GACGGAGGAGGCAAGCGUUAUUCGGAAUUAUUGGGCGUAAAGCGUGCGCAGGCGGUGAUUCAAGUCUGCUGUCAAAGGUCGGGGCUUAACCCCGGGAAGGCAGUGGAAACUGAAUAGCUAGAGGGAGGUAGGGGCAGAGGGAAUUCCCGGUGUAGCGGUGAAAUGCGUAGAGAUCGGGAAGAACACCAGUGGCGAAAGCGCUCUGCUGGGCCUGCACUGACACUGAGGGACGAAAGCUAGGGGAGCGAAAGGG
This 253-nucleotide ribosomal RNA is filed under the name uncultured bacterium. RNAcentral's name for it is "partial 16S ribosomal RNA". It matches the Rfam family "Bacterial small subunit ribosomal RNA", at positions 524 to 776 of the family's 1533-position model. The record is from RNAcentral.